AUUGAACGCUGGCGGCAUGCCUUACACAUGCAAGUCGAACGGCAGCACGGGAGCAAUCCUGGUGGCGAGUGGCGAACGGGUGAGUAAUGUAUCGGAACGUGCCCAGUCGUAGGGGAUAACGUAGCGAAAGCUACGCUAAUACCGCAUACGAUCUAUGGAUGAAAGCGGGGGAUCGCAAGACCUCGCGCGAUUGGAGCGGCCGAUAUCAGAUUAGGUAGUUGGUGGGGUAAAGGCUCACCAAGCCGACGAUCUGUAGCUGGUCUGAGAGGACGACCAGCCACACUGGGACUGAGACACGGCCCAGACUCCUACGGGAGGCAGCAGUGGGGAAUUUUGGACAAUGGGCGCAAGCCUGAUCCAGCAAUGCCGCGUGCAGGAUGAAGGCCUUCGGGUUGUAAACUGCUUUUGUACGGAACGAAACGGCGAGCUCUAAUACAGUUUGCUAAUGACGGUACCGUAAGAAUAAGCACCGGCUAACUACGUGCCAGCAGCCGCCGUAA
RNAcentral lists this ribosomal RNA (500 nucleotides) under uncultured bacterium. RNAcentral describes it as "partial 16S ribosomal RNA". It matches the Rfam family "Bacterial small subunit ribosomal RNA", at positions 30 to 523 of the family's 1533-position model. The record is from RNAcentral.